This 389-nucleotide unclassified non-coding RNA is filed under the name soil metagenome. RNAcentral's name for it is "partial contains 5.8S ribosomal RNA, internal transcribed spacer 2, and large subunit ribosomal RNA". The stretch from base 1 to 122 matches the Rfam family "5.8S ribosomal RNA", at positions 35 to 154 of the family's 154-position model. The record is from RNAcentral.
GAUGAAGAACGUAGCGAAAUGCGAUACUUGGUGUGAAUUGCAGAAUCCCGUGAACCAUCGAGUCUUUGAACGCAAGUUGCGCCCGAAGCCACUAGGCCGAGGGCACGCCUGCCUGGGCGUCACACGCCGUUGCCCCCCCAUCUACUCCUUCGGGAUUGCGGGGGGGCGGAUGAUGGCCUCCCGUGCGCCUAGCCGCGCGGUUGGCAUAAAUACCAAGUCCUCGGCGACGCACGCCACGACAAUCGGUGGUUGCGAAACCUCGGUUGCCCGUCGUGUGCGUUCGUCGCGCAUCGAGGGCUCGAAAAAAUGCUCGGCUCCGGCUGGGCUUUCAACGCGACCCCAGGUCAGGCGGGGUUACCCGCUGAAUUUAAGCAUACAAAAGCGGAGGA